UGCUUGUGUUGUGUUGUGUACGGCUCCUUCACCUUGGGCGUAAUUGGAGUUUGACAACAUCAUCCUCACUGUACCCUCUGAUGUCGUCAGAUGUCUUGAUCAUCCCGAUAAGUUGGCGGACCUCUGGAAUGACAUCACGAAGGCCAUCGCUGACCUGGCUGCCAAAUCCCACAAAUUUUCAUGGAAAGACCAAUUUGUAGCAGACGUUCAAAUUUCACACGAUUUUAUGUAUGCAGAUUAUCCUAUAAUGGCACACCGGGGUUCUGCAACUGGGUUGGUGGAUGUUAACCAUGUGAAGACCAAAGGCAUUUGGGUGGAGUUCCCUCCACACACCACAGAGUGCACAUGCAACCUGUGGUCAGUGUACGUGCAUGAAGUGGUGUUUGGGAUCAAAUGGGACAAAGUAAAGGAACACAGUGCCUAAAACAGGCUCAUUCAGCGAUAACUUCUGCAAAUCGAAAUAAACGACUCAAGGAUUAUAUCAAAGGAGGCAAAAAGCUCUGCAGCUGUAGCAUGUGGGUGAACCUGGAGACAUACUUGCAGGUAAGAGA
This is a long non-coding RNA of Xiphophorus couchianus (Monterrey platyfish), 551 nucleotides long. RefSeq lists it as uncharacterized. The record is from RefSeq and is a predicted model, not a curated record. The transcript has 3 exons. NCBI's taxonomy places the organism in Eukaryota, Metazoa, Chordata, Actinopteri, Cyprinodontiformes, Poeciliidae.